This 651-nucleotide long non-coding RNA is filed under the name Setaria italica (foxtail millet). RNAcentral's name for it is "long non-coding RNA (SITA_LNC002441)". Lineage: Eukaryota; Viridiplantae; Streptophyta; Magnoliopsida; Poales; Poaceae. The record is from RNAcentral.
UAGACUUCUCAGAAUUGCCACCGCAGGAGUGCAAUCUAUUCGACAACUUCAUCUGUCGGGGCUGACUGGCUAAGGCAGUGCUUGAGACACCAAGGCCUGCAACGAAGUAAAAAGAAAUCACAAUUGUAAAUGUUUAAGGAGGUGUUUGGAUCCAUGGACUAAUUUUUAGUUCGGAUCACAUCGGAUGUUUGGAUACCAAUUAGAAGGAGUAAUUAUAAAACUAAUUGCAUAAGUCGUGGCUAAUUUGCGAGACAAAUCUAUUAAGCUUAAUUAAUUCAUGAUUAAUACAUAUUUACUGUAACAUCACAUGGUCAAAUCAUGGAUUAAUUAGGCUUAAUAGAAUCGAAUGAACUCCAAAUUCCAAGUUCCAAACAAUAGAGAACAUAUGUCAGGGAAAGAGUCAGGAUGGGAGGAACUUGCCUGCCUAGGACUGGUUCCGGGACAUCUUGAGGUGGUCGCCGUGGUGCUCUUCAGCGGAGGCUUCAGGCUUGGCUGCUUGAGCACCUGCCCUGCUCACCGGCGAUUGCUGAGCAGCCGCCGCUGCUUGUUGUGGAGGAGCGGGGAAACGAGGAUGCGGCACUCGCAGCCGGAGCAUAGCACUGCCUCGUCGGCGCAGCACAGCACGGCGGCCGCUCGACGCCGCAAAUGUCG